Molecule: ribosomal RNA, 1387 nt
Filed under: uncultured bacterium
Lineage: Bacteria
Description: bacterial SSU rRNA
Rfam family: Bacterial small subunit ribosomal RNA
Source: RNAcentral
AGAGUUUUUUCCUGGCUCAGGACGAACGCUGGCGGCGUGCCUACACAUGCAAGUCGAACGAAGCGCCUUUUAAGAUUCUUCGGAUGAUUGAUUGGUGACUGAGUGGCGGACGGGUGAGUAACGCGUGGGUAACCUGCCCUGUACAGGGGGAUAACAGUUGGAAACGGCUGCUAAUACCGCAUAAGCGCACGAGAGGACAUCCUCUUGUGUGAAAAACUCCGGUGGUACAGGAUGGGCCCGCGUCUGAUUAGCUGGUUGGCAGGGUAACGGCCUACCAAGGCGACGAUCAGUAGCCGGUCUGAGAGGAUGAACGGCCACAUUGGAACUGAGACACGGCCCAGACUCCUACGGGAGGCAGCAGUGAGGGGUAUUGGGCAAUGGGGGAAACCCUGACCCAGCAACGCCGCGUGAGGGAUGACGGUUUUCGGAUUGUAAACCUCUGUCCUCUGUGAAGAUAGUGACGGUAGCAGAGGAGGAAGCUCCGGCUAACUACGUGCCAGCAGCCGCGGUAAUACGUAGGGAGCAAGCGUUGUCCGGAUUUACUGGGUGUAAAGGGUGCGUAGGCGGAUUGGCAAGUCAGAAGUGAAAUCCAUGGGCUUAACCCAUGAACUGCUUUUGAAACUGUUAGUCUUGAGUGAAGUAGAGGUAGGCGGAAUUCCCGGUGUAGCGGUGAAAUGCGUAGAGAUCGGGAGGAACACCAGUGGCGAAGGCGGCCUACUGGGCUUUAACUGACGCUGAGGCACGAAAGUGUGGGUAGCAAACAGGAUUAGAUACCCUGGUAGUCCACACUGUAAACGAUGAUUACUAGGUGUGGGGGGUCUAACCCCCUCCGUGCCGGAGUUAACACAAUAAGUAAUCCACCUGGGGAGUACGACCGCAAGGUUGAAACUCAAAGGAAUUGACGGGGGCCCGCACAAGCGGUGGAGCAUGUGGUUUAAUUCGAAGCAACGCGAAGAACCUUACCAAGUCUUGACAUCCUCCUGACCGGUCCUUAACCGGACCUUUCCUUCGGGACAGGAGAGACAGGUGGUGCAUGGUUGUCGUCAGCUCGUGUCGUGAGAUGUUGGGUUAAGUCCCGCAACGAGCGCAACCCCUAUCCUCAGUAGCCAGCAUUUAAGGUGGGCACUCUGGGGAGACUGCCAGGGAUAACCUGGAGGAAGGCGGGGAUGACGUCAAAUCAUCAUGCCCCUUAUGAUUUGGGCUACACACGUGCUACAAUGGCGUAAACAAAGGGAAGCGAGAUCGUGAGAUGGAGCAAAUCCCAAAAAUAACGUCCCAGUUCGGACUGUAGUCUGCAACCCGACUUCAUGAAGUCGGAAUCGCUAGUAAUCGCAGAUCAGAAUGCCGCGGUGAAUACGUUCCCGGGUCUUGCACUCACCGCCCGUCA